RNAcentral lists this ribosomal RNA (377 nucleotides) under uncultured bacterium. RNAcentral's name for it is "bacterial SSU rRNA". It matches the Rfam family "Bacterial small subunit ribosomal RNA", at positions 523 to 898 of the family's 1533-position model. The record is from RNAcentral.
AUACGUAGGGGGCAAGCGUUAUCCGGAAUUACUGGGUGUAAAGGGUGUGUAGGCGGCAAUGCAAGUCAGAUGUGAAAGCCAAGGGCUCAACCCUUGGACUGCAUUUGAAACUGUGUAGCUAGAGUGCAGGAGAGGUAAGUGGAAUUCCUAGUGUAGCGGUGAAAUGCGUAGAUAUUAGGAAGAACACCAGUGGCGAAGGCGGCUUACUGGACUGUAACUGACGCUGAGGCACGAAAGCGUGGGGAGCGAACAGGAUUAGAUACCCUGGUAGUCCACGCUGUAAACGAUGAAUGCUAGGUGUCGGGGGUCGACAGACCUUCGGUGCCGCAGCUAACGCAUUAAGCAUUCCACCUGGGGAGUACGAUCGCAAGAUUGAA